UCGCCCUGGUAGGCAAGGAUACCAGAAGAGGGUGGCACAAGCUGGAAAGCCGCCGAUUCUCACGACGGCGGCAUGGUGGGCAGUGAGCAGUGGUGGAGGGAAGCCUAGGGCAACUAGGGCCCUGGCCCUAGGCGUGGGCUGGUAUUUUGCAUACUGUAGCUACUGUAGACCAAAGGAAUAGGCGCAGCUAGCCCCGAUUGGCCCAUUAGCGGCCCUAGGCGUCAAAUUGGCCCAGCUCCGCCCCUGGCAGUGAGGAAGGGAGAUUCGAAGAUGGGCCCGUCGAGGUGCCGGACUGGAGCAGACGCACUCCACGAGCUCGUUAUUUUCGAGCUCACCAUGGAGCACGGACCGCUCACCAUCUCCAGCUCCUCUUGGUACCACGUCAAGGAAUGACCUGGAAGCUGAAUGGAGCUGUCUCUUGCGGUGUCAAUAACAUCCUUUAUCUAAUAUUGCAGAUCCACUGAAAGUUGUAAGGAGGUUGCUGCAGAGACGUCAAUGUUUGCAUGAUUAUGUUUCAUGGAGGAAUUGCUGGUGGCUCCGAAGCUGCUUGCAGUGUUCCUUUGGCCUGUAGCCUCUUCUUUAUUUUGCUGGAUCUGUAACAUGGUAACUGAACAGUCCAGUUUUUAGCUGAUGAAAUUCCUGUGAGGUGGAUCAUGGCAUCAUCUUAGUCAUGUAACAAUUGUGCUCCUGGAGGCACACCCCUGACCCCUCAACUGUGAUGUACGAUUAACUGUAUAUGUCCUUGGUUCCUAUAGUGCUUGAACAUUAUAAAAUAAACCGUGCUUUUUCGGAAGACUUUUCA
Molecule: long non-coding RNA, 802 nt
Organism: Panicum virgatum (switchgrass)
Lineage: Eukaryota; Viridiplantae; Streptophyta; Magnoliopsida; Poales; Poaceae
Exons: 3
Source: RefSeq, a predicted model, not a curated record